Quercus robur (English oak) is the source of this 852-nucleotide long non-coding RNA. RefSeq lists it as uncharacterized. The record is from RefSeq and is a predicted model, not a curated record. Lineage: Eukaryota; Viridiplantae; Streptophyta; Magnoliopsida; Fagales; Fagaceae. The transcript has 2 exons.
GCUGAAGCAAAACAAAGGCCAUUUUGCUUCCUCCGGGAGGACCACGUGCCAACCAAUAAGAAAGUAACACAUGUCCUUUCUUUUGUGAUUCAGCUUCACACCAAUGGCUUAAAUCUCAUCCGUUUAUUCAAUCCAAUGGCUCUUAAAUUUGACACAUCAUCAAAUUAUAAAAAGACAAUUUCACCCCCCUAAAAUAUUUCAAACCUUGCGUCUGCUUGUAUCUCCUCCUUUGGAACAAAAAUCAAAAUUCUCUCUCUUUCGCUCUCACAGAUUGAAGCUUUCUCUCUUCACAGCACAGCCACUGCCCGGAUCUCCGGUUCCAACGAUGCUAGCCUUUUUCUCAUCAGAAAAUCCCUACUGGUACAGUCACCAAAUUUCAAAAUUUUUCUCUCUUCCACCAAACCUUGCUGUAUGUGGGACACCAGCGUUGAUUCUCCAUGACCAUGGCUACAACUGGAAGCCUCCAAGGCUCACACGACCACCACCGGCGGUGCUUGCUGGCCUGACCUUCUCCUCUCUUUAGGUCUCUGUUUUUUCGCUCUCUCAAGUCCAGCCGUGGCCAAGCUUUUGCUUGCACCGCGACACCACCAUUUCUGUCAAGAAGCUGGAGGCGCACCAACUAUAACUUAAUGAGUUGGUCAUGCCAUUUAAGUUUGUAGAAGAACUUGAUCUUGAAGCUUAGAAGACCUUCUUCUUAUUUUUUUUCUUUUGUGGGAAUUAUGUAUCAUGAAUAUAUGAUGAUGGGAAGAUUUGUUUCUUGUUAACAAAGUGUAUAUUUCAACAAAACUAUUGUUAUAUGGCCUUGUGGUCGAAGUGUACAUUCUAAUAAAAUUUUGUUUAUUUUUAGAACAA